This 274-nucleotide ribosomal RNA is filed under the name uncultured bacterium. RNAcentral's name for it is "partial 16S ribosomal RNA". It matches the Rfam family "Bacterial small subunit ribosomal RNA", at positions 523 to 796 of the family's 1533-position model. The record is from RNAcentral.
AUACGAAAGGAGCAAGCGUUGUUCGGAUUUACUGGGCGUAAAGAGAGUGUAGGUGGUUUGUUAAGUCGGAUGUGAAAUCCCGGGGCUCAACCCCGGAACUGCAUUCGAUACUGGCAGACUAGAGUUCGGGAGGGGGAAGCGGAAUUCCGUGUGUAGCAGUGAAAUGCGUAGAUAUACGGAGGAACACCUGAGGCGAAGGCGGCUUCCUGGACCGAUACUGACACUGAGACUCGAAAGCGUGGGUAGCAAACAGGAUUAGAUACCCUAGUAGUCC